ACACAAGGGAAACCUUUUACCUCCGCAGCCAGAGUCUGGGGGGAAAGGCAGGCGUGGGAAGCACUAACUCCCUCUCUGGAUAUCUGGAACAAGGAGGACCUUAAACUUAACAAUAAAGCCAAUGAUGGUUCUACCAGUCUCCCCAAAGCCUCAAGUUUAAAAGCCAUAUGAACUGGCUGAUAGUGGAAAAUGGAAGCCAUGAGGAAAUCAGAUUAGAGUACUACCUGGUGAAGCCUGGAGGACCUACCAAGAAAAGCAAACUUGGAUCUUUGCAAGGUUAGAAGAACGAAUGGGAUCCAAGAAAAAGACUGGUCAUAUUCAACGGCUAAGAGCGUUGGAGAAGGCCUGUGGAGUCUCAGCAGGUCAGGUCCAUGACUCAUGAGUAGACACCUGUGUUUCUACUGCCUGGUGCCAUAAUCAUAAACAAGGAAGAAACUGAGGACAGGAGGGGCCAAACAAGUUACAGUUUCAUCCCUCCAGAGAGCCAACAGAGUAUUUUGCACGAAGUUGAAGCUAAACAGAGUAAUCAGCAAAUGCCUUUCCUUUCUCCUGCUGAUGUUUUGCCCGUACUCAGACCCCUUGACUUCUUAGCUUCUACCCAAAGUGAGCUUGUCAUCAAAGUUCUCCAAAAAUCUGCAGUGUUCUCUUGAGCAAAUCUGGCAACCUAUUCAGCUCCAAUAAAAGAGUGUUUGACACCUGACUGUGCAUUGUUUAUUACUCCCUGUUAAGUAUAGUCAAAAUAAUUUAAAGAAAAAAAUCACAUACUUUACUUCCAAUUAUUUAUCCAACAUCCAACUGAAUGUUGACUUUGGGACAGACACUGGCUGGGUGCUGGAAAUAGAGUGGAGAAUAAGACAGGUAUGGUUUCUGCCAUUACUAUACUCAUAAUCAAAUAGCAAUAAUGAUAAGACUACAGAAAGUGUUUAGCAGCAAACUGCAUCUUAGAGGUGAUGGGAGGGAAGUGUUGGAGAAACCCACUGGAGGCUUCCAUCUGACACCUGAAGGAUGAGUGGACACUAACACAAAGAGAAGGAGGCUGGCAGAAUCCAGAACAUGAUGAGACCUAGGCCAGGCACCUCCUACUAGGACCUUGAUUACAGCUUUAUGGAACCAAUGGAACCUGGAGGAAAAGAAGCAGGUAAAGAUGAGAAAACUGAUCACCCUGCAAGGACUAUCCUGAGCAGAAAAGGGGAGCUCCUACUUCAUGCCAGACAUCAUGCCAACACUUGCAUAUAACUCUCAGUUCAUCCUCAGAAUCCUCCUUGGGGUUACUUUAUUUAUUCCACUGUACUAUCACUGGGAGACUAAGGCCAGAGUGUUUACAUUCCCCACUUGCUGGGGUCCCAGAUCAUAAUGUGGGCAGGAUGAAGCCCUGAAGCAUGAACGCAUCCACCUUGUUCUGUUCCUUUCCUCCCUCCUCGGGGGAAGUUUGCUAUCCCUGAACCUUUGUGCUUCUUGAUCUCAUGUCAUACAAUCUUAGACAUAAGUCUAAAAGACGUUGACUCACCAGAGUCCUUGGACUGGCAGGGGCCUAGGUCAGACUGUGGAAUCUCCAGAGCCAAAUUUGUCUUUUCAAAUUCUAAGUUCUCGGCACUUGGUUUCUCAUGUCACCCACUUGGCCCUCUUCCAAGUGUACUUUCCUUCUUUUCUUUCCUUACU
Long non-coding RNA from Homo sapiens (human), 1659 nucleotides. The record is from Ensembl. Lineage: Eukaryota; Metazoa; Chordata; Mammalia; Primates; Hominidae.